RNAcentral lists this non-coding RNA (161 nucleotides) under pig gut metagenome. RNAcentral describes it as "Lysine riboswitch". It matches the Rfam family "Lysine riboswitch aptamer". Rfam says of the family: Riboswitches are metabolite binding domains within certain messenger RNAs that serve as precision sensors for their corresponding targets. Allosteric rearrangement of mRNA structure is mediated by ligand binding, and this results in modulation of gene expression. The record is from RNAcentral.
UAUGAUAGAGGUGCAGAAGCUAAGAGUAGCUUGCUCCAUUCGGGAAACGGGAGCUUUGCAAAAGGGGCUUUUGCCGAAGUGAGCGCUUGCCUGCCCGAGGCGGCGUUUGCUGGGUCGAUGCAAAAUAUGUAUCGGACUGUCACGGUUGUGGAGCGCUAUCA